AGAGUUUGAUCCUGGCUCAGAAUCAACGCUGGCGGCGUGCCUCAGACAUGCAAGUCGAACGGGAACCUCCCUUCGGGGAGGGGAAAGUGGCGCACGGGUGAGUAACACGUGGGUAAUUUACCUUUGGGUGGGGAACAACAGCCGGAAACGGCUGCUAAUACCGCAUAAUGCAGCGGCUCGACAUCGAGACAGUUGUUAAAGCGGGGGAUCGCAAGACCUCGCGCCUAAAGAGAAGCCCGCGGCAGAUUAGCUAGUUGGUAGGGUAAUGGCCUACCAAGGCAACGAUCUGUAACCGGCCUGAGAGGGCGGUCGGUCACACUGACACUGACAUACGGGUCAGACUCCUACGGGAGGCAGCAGUCGGGAAUUUUGGGCAAUGGGCGAAAGCCUGACCCAGCAACGCCGCGUGAAGGAUGAAGCUUUUCGGAGUGUAAACUUCACAAGAAUGGGAAGAAUAAGUUUAGGAUAAUACCCUAAACGAUGACGGUACCAUUUGUAAGCUCCGGCUAACUCCGUGCCAGCAGCCGCGGUAAUACGGGGGGAGCAAGCGUUGUUCGGAUUUACUGGGCGUAAAGGGCGCGUAGGCGGCGCGACAAGUCACUUGUGAAAUCUCUGAGCUCAACUCAGAACGGUCAAGUGAUACUGUCGUGCUAGAGUGCGGAAGGGGCAACUGGAAUUCUUGGUGUAGCGGUGAAAUGCGUAGAUAUCAAGAGGAACACCUGCGGCGAAGGCGGGUUGCUGGGCCGACACUGACGCUGAGGCGCGAAAGCUAGGGGAGCGAACGGGAUUAGAUACCCCUGUAGUCC
Molecule: ribosomal RNA, 806 nt
Filed under: uncultured Acidobacteriota bacterium
Lineage: Bacteria; Pseudomonadati; Acidobacteriota
Description: bacterial SSU rRNA
Rfam family: Bacterial small subunit ribosomal RNA
Source: RNAcentral